Esox lucius (northern pike) is the source of this 129-nucleotide small nucleolar RNA. Ensembl annotates it as small nucleolar RNA SNORA49. NCBI's taxonomy places the organism in Eukaryota, Metazoa, Chordata, Actinopteri, Esociformes, Esocidae. The record is from Ensembl.
CUUCCCCUCCCUUACUCCAGCCACCCCAGUGGAGUGGCCUGGCAUUAACAGGGGAUACAGAAACACGGCUCGCUCACGUCUCCAUGCCGGGACCGUUAUCCCACGUGAGGUUGUGAGAGACCGGACACU